RNAcentral lists this long non-coding RNA (1426 nucleotides) under Nicotiana tabacum (common tobacco). Its description in RNAcentral is "long non-coding RNA (NTAB_LNC009786)". Lineage: Eukaryota; Viridiplantae; Streptophyta; Magnoliopsida; Solanales; Solanaceae. The record is from RNAcentral.
GGAGUAGUUAUUUAGUGCAGUUGGUUUUGCAAAAAUACAUGUAAUAAAUGCUUGCAUUAAAACGUUUAACAAAAACAUUACUAAUAGUGAAUUACUCGAGAAACAAUAACAUUGAAGGAUCGUUCAAAUUCUUAAAUGACAAAAAAGCUAGGCGUUCGAAUGUUGACUGUCACUACCAAAACUGGGACAUUUGCACAAAUGGCCUUUUUGGUGCUCCCUUUCUUACCUUCUUGUUUUCCUCAGCUUCCCUCGUUGCUUCCUCCCUUGUAUAGAAUUUUUCCAUAUCAAUUUUACGUAUGUCACCUCUUUAGAAUGCAACCUUUUUACUUGCUAGUCUACUAUUGACUACUAGUUUCUCAUAAGAUAGAUUUUCAUCUAGCUGCAUAGAGUAUAGUCGGUAUAUUAAGGUAAGUUAUCUAUAUCAUACCCCUUAGGGUACUUCAAACUCUACGUGAAUGUUAAAUACCUUAUGCAUCAGGCUGCUCUUUUGUUUUUUGCAUAGUUGGCAUCAUGCACGUGAUAGGAUGAAUUUAACAUAUACUUUAAUAACAUAAAUACAUGAAAUACCGAAUAUAGAAGCACAACUUUUCAACUUUCCUAGAUAUUAAAAAGGUUUCACAUAUAUCAAUAUCUAUUCCAAUUCUACAAAGUUAAGACUACAUCUAUUUAGUCACAAGAUGGUACCAUUAGAAAUAACUGCAUAUAUCUGUAAAUUGCACAAAUGGAUGAUUCUACUAGAAUUUGUAAGAAAAGUCUAAUUAAUGAUACAAUUAUAAAAACACAAGGAAAGUGUGAGAUAACAAUGACCAAAAUAAAUACACAGAUUAUUAGGGGCUGGCAGUGAUUGAGAUAGAUGGACAAUUUUUUUCAGAAUCUUGAAAUUUGUGAUCAAAGUUGUAUGUGUACUGUAAUGUAAUGUAUUCUAUCUACCCCCAUUUAUUAUUCAUGUGGCCCUGCUUUCUUACAGCACCAUAAUAAUUAACCCAACUUCCUUUCUACUCAAUACUCACUCAGUCCUUUACCCUUCACACCCCCCACUCAAAACCACUCUAUUUGGAAUGUUGAACAAAUCCUUUUUUGGUAUCAGAAGAUGAAAUACCAGAAAUAGUCAUCUAUUUUUACAUUUAUAUUUAAUGAAAUUUGAAAAAGCAAUUAUUACAUCUCUUCUGUCAGCAACAGUAAAUAUUUUGUAGUAGUACAUGUCUACGAAGAACUAACAAAUAUUUAGGGAAAAAUCCGAUUUCUUUUGCUUUUUUGGGUUGACUAAUUCAUAGGGUAAAAUAAUGGAGAAAAAGAGAAAGGGAGAGAGGGAAGUUUACCAUUGCGCGCAAAGUGUUCACCACAGAGUAUUCACCCGAAGGGCAGAGGCUGUGACAGAGACGGUAGCGAAUGUGGGUUUCCCAUCUUAACCAAAAAAAAAAAAAAA